AUUCACGUGUAGCAGUGAAAUGCGUAGAGAUGUGGAGGAAUACCGAUGGCGAAGGCAGCCCCCUGGGCCAAUACUGACGCUCAUGCACGAAAGCGUGGGGAGCAAACAGGAUUAGAUACCCUGGUAGUCCACGCCCUAAACGAUGUCAACUAGUUGUCGGGUCUUCAUUGACUUGGUAACGUAGCUAACGCGUGAAGUUGACCGCCUGGGGAGUACGGUCGCAAGAUUAAAACUCAAAGGAAUUGACGGGGACCCGCACAAGCGGUGGAUGAUGUGGAUUGAUUCGAUGCAACGCGAAAAACCUUACCUACCCUUGACAUGUAUGGAAUCCUGCUGAGAGGUGGGAGUGCCCGAAAGGGAGCCAUAACACAGGCGCUGCAUGGCUGUCGUCAGCU
RNAcentral lists this ribosomal RNA (395 nucleotides) under uncultured Pseudomonadota bacterium. RNAcentral's name for it is "bacterial SSU rRNA". It matches the Rfam family "Bacterial small subunit ribosomal RNA", at positions 667 to 1060 of the family's 1533-position model. Lineage: Bacteria; Pseudomonadati; Pseudomonadota. The record is from RNAcentral.